CAGUUUUCAAAUUUAGUACAUUGUCAAUCAAUGUCACAUCGUUCUCUUAUUUGACUCUGGAAUAAAGUAUGCGUUUUUUCAUCCAUUCAAAAUUUUCAGAAUGUUGUUUGGUUCCAUAGUUACUCGACUUCCAUAAAAUUUUCUCAGCGUAUCAGCAAUUUUGAAGGAAUUCGUAGCUUUGAGCUUGGCGAAGAUCUUCUUGUUUAAUCAUAAAGCGAUGUCAAAAUCAGAAAAUCAGCAGAAAUCGACAAAAAUAUACUUAUCAUGUUUUUCUUCUAUGAUCUUUGCAUGGAAUGUGUGAACUAUGAAAAUAGAGCUUUACGAUUCGAAGUAUGCGCGCUUAAAACGCGACCGAUUGUUCCCUACAGCUGAUCGAUGCUGCCCAUAAUUUUCUUUCGUAUAAGGGUAACGUUCACUCAGGAAUUCAUGAAUACUUCGACGCGAAUACCACGAAUGCCAACGGGUAAUUUUCAUAAAUAACUCGCGUUUCAAACUUCCUUGCGAAUUUCAAAGAUCAGCUAUCUUACGUAACUCUAACUCUUUUUUAUCAUUUUUAAGGACUUCCAAUAUUUCCAAGGUUUUCUUCGUGAAUCGAUUUAUCGGUUAAAUUUUCAUUGAAUUUCUCCAUGUUUAUGGUUCAUCGAUCCGAUUGACAUGGAUUUACUAUCGAGUUCGCCGUACAACUAUCUUGCUGGUGAAGAAAGUGUCAUUUGGCGAAGUAACGCGUAGCUAGAGAGAUAGACAUUUGCCGGAUGUUUUAAUCCGGUGCGCAAAACAGCGCGAGUUCCCUCGUCACGGUAGAAAAUCCUGCCAGUUAGGACGAACGCUGUGCCUCCAGCAAAAACUCAGCCACUUAUCUUGCUCAGAAUCACACAUAUCGGAUAAGAUCGAUCGUCUUUUUAAUUUUCUGCCGUGCAACACGUCGGUCUUCACGUUCCACGAUUGACGUACUACACGCGUAUACACGUUACGAUACACGUUCAACGCGUUUGCCGAUGUUCGUUAUACGGCUAUCAAAGGGACAUCGGAGCAAUGGUUUUCGAUCACAGAAGGAACAAAAGUUUCUUUCUACUCACCUUGCCAAAAUUGGAGAGACCACCGAUGCGUGCCACUUGACCGGGUUCAUCCGCUGUGCUGCAUUCUGCCCUAACGAACCAAUAGGAUUACAGGGAGUCGUGGUAGGCGCGGACUACCAGCAACGGGUUUCGAGGAGUCUGAGCAAUUUCGGGACCAUAAUCGUCUGUAUUAGCGCCAUGUUCUCUAAGCUGGCAAACGGAACGAUGAUACGAUGUUCGCAAUGCUAACUGACGCGAUAAUCGAUCGCCGGAGGAACGACGAGUAAACGACGAGUAAACGACGAAUGCGAUCGAUUUCGAACGGAUGGAGUUCUGAAUCCGAGGUCGGAUACUUUGCAUUUUCCUUUGAUAAUUAGCGAAUGAAAAGACGAUGGCCGGUACUUGAUCAUUUAACUGAGCUAUGCAUGUUCGGAAUAACCAGAAUUGAUACGUGAGUGGUUGAAAUUUCAAUCAUUUGCUUUCCAUGUAACUGAUUAGGAUGGUAUUUUCCAUUUGUU
Bombus pascuorum is the source of this 1573-nucleotide long non-coding RNA. RefSeq lists it as uncharacterized. Lineage: Eukaryota; Metazoa; Arthropoda; Insecta; Hymenoptera; Apidae. The transcript is spliced from 3 exons. The record is from RefSeq and is a predicted model, not a curated record.